Molecule: long non-coding RNA, 533 nt
Organism: Dermacentor silvarum
Lineage: Eukaryota; Metazoa; Arthropoda; Arachnida; Ixodida; Ixodidae
Exons: 4
Source: RefSeq, a predicted model, not a curated record
CGAGGACGACUGGCGAUGACCAGGGACUUUUGGAAGGCUGCAUAACAUCGUACUGAAGCAUCUCUUCCACUUGCUGGCUAUUCACUCGGUUCUGCCUGUUGACGAACAUGAAGCUCAUCUCUGCCAUCGUGCUACUGGUGAUUCUCACAGGCUUUCUGGGCAGGGCGUCUGUGAAGACGAAAGGAAGACGACUAUAUCGAACAGGAUAUGCCUAUGGCUGUUGGUUGUUCGGGACGAUAUGCAACAGCCACUGUAAAGGCCAAGGAUACUCUCAAGGCUACUGCGAUGGACCACACCGUGGUACAUGCUAUUGCUCUGGGUAUAAACAGUGAUCAAGCGCCGACUGCACAUAGAUAUUAACAGUAUGCAGAAACCCGCCAAGUGUUUCCUUAUAUCCAUUCGUGCGUUUGCGGUGUUUUAAGCGAAUAAAUCUCUAUGCCUAUUGCCGCUAAUAAAACCUCUGAGGAGCGACUCCAAUUGUGCGGGCCAGCGCAGUGCGUCAUACAUCUUGCUCUCUCGCGGAAACUGCUCAA